AUGCCGAUAAUUUCAGGGAGCGGCCACCGUGAUGGUGCUAUAUACAAGAGAGCGGCUUAUUGGGAACAUAAUUUCUUUUUUGAUAUCACCGUCCAGACAGAGACUCGGUUGGAGCCAACGCGUGCAUAUGAAAUGCCACGUAACAUGAUGCAGAUCUUCUCAAUGAAGUUAGCUAAAGCUCCUAUCAAUAGUGGCUCAAUACAUUUAUAUGGACAUAUAGCAGCACACGAUGAAGUUGAUCUAAGACUCAAUUAUGUUUUCAAUCGUAGCAGGGAUGAUCCCAUCAUCGUGCAACAGGGUUCUCUAAAUGAAAUGAAUGGUCCUAAGAGAGCCAUCCUGUUGAUAUUUGAUGUGCUACUUGAGUUUGACAUGAGGAUCAAGAAUGGGGAGAACGAAGAGGAUGAUUUACAACCGAUUGAUGGAAUCUCAGAAUUUGACGGUUUACUCAUGUCAUGGAGACCGCAUUGUUGGAAACUGUGGUGCAGUUGA
Molecule: ribosomal RNA, 489 nt
Filed under: Triticum aestivum (bread wheat)
Lineage: Eukaryota; Viridiplantae; Streptophyta; Magnoliopsida; Poales; Poaceae
Description: partial small subunit ribosomal RNA
Source: RNAcentral